RNAcentral lists this ribosomal RNA (400 nucleotides) under uncultured bacterium. Its description in RNAcentral is "partial 16S ribosomal RNA". It matches the Rfam family "Bacterial small subunit ribosomal RNA", at positions 355 to 747 of the family's 1533-position model. The record is from RNAcentral.
UGGGGAAUUUUGGACAAUGGGCGAAAGCCUGAUCCAGCAAUGCCGCGUGUGUGAAGAAGGCCUUCGGGUUGUAAAGCACUUUUGUCCGGAAAGAAAUCCUUGGCUCUAAUACAGUCGGGGGAUGACGGUACCGGAAGAAUAAGCACCGGCUAACUACGUGCCAGCAGCCGCGGUAAUACGUAGGGUGCAAGCGUUAAUCGGAAUUACUGGGCGUAAAGCGUGCGCAGGCGGUUUGCUAAGACCGAUGUGAAAUCCCCGGGCUCAACCUGGGAACUGCAUUGGUGACUGGCAGGCUAGAGUAUGGCAGAGGGGGGUAGAAUUCCACGUGUAGCAGUGAAAUGCGUAGAGAUGUGGAGGAAUACCGAUGGCGAAGGCAGCCCCCUGGGCCAAUACUGACGCU